AGUGAACGCUGGCGGUAGGCCUAACACAUGCAAGUCGAACGGCAGCACAGUAAGAGCUUGCUCUUACGGGUGGCGAGUGGCGUACGGGUGAGGAAUACAUCGGAAUCUACUUUUUCGUGGGGGAUAACGUAGGGAAACUUACGCUAAUACCGCAUACGACCUACGGGUGAAAGCAGGGGAUCUUCGGACCUUGCGCGAUUGAAUGAGCCGAUGUCGGAUUAGCUAGUUGGCGGGGUAAAGGCCCACCAAGGCGACGAUCCGUAGCUGGUCUGAGAGGAUGAUCAGCCACACUGGAACUGAGACACGGUCCAGACUCCUACGGGAGGCAGAAGUGGGGAAUAUUGGACAAUGGGCGCAAGCCUGAUCCAGCCAUACCGCGUGGGUGAAGAAGGCCUUCGGGUUGUAAAGCCCUUUUGUUGGGAAAGAAAAGCAGCAGGUUAAUACCCCGCUGUUCUGACGGUACCCAAAGAAUAAGCACCGGCUAACUUCGUG
This 492-nucleotide ribosomal RNA is filed under the name uncultured bacterium. Its description in RNAcentral is "partial 16S ribosomal RNA". It matches the Rfam family "Bacterial small subunit ribosomal RNA", at positions 29 to 507 of the family's 1533-position model. The record is from RNAcentral.